Microcebus murinus (gray mouse lemur) is the source of this 794-nucleotide non-coding RNA. The record is from RefSeq and is a predicted model, not a curated record. NCBI's taxonomy places the organism in Eukaryota, Metazoa, Chordata, Mammalia, Primates, Cheirogaleidae.
GUCGUAAACAUGCGGGCCCCUUGCCAGCACUGUGGAUGCCCGUCACCAUGGAAACCAGGAACACUCAAGCACACUCCUGUCCCAUCUCUUCCCAGCAGCAGGCAGCUGGAUUUACCAAUGGGGGUUCCAAGGAACGGGGUGACGGACUCUGGGAACGUGAAGAGGGAAGCGCUGGCCUGAGGGAACGUCUUGGAAUCCUAAUGCUGGCCUCACACUUCAAGUAACUGUGAAGAGCUCGGGCAUGUUUAGACCAGAAGUUUCAUCAAGACAGAAGUGGAAAAUCCAGGUCUGAUCCUCGUGAGGGCGAAGGCUGGAUGGGAGUCGCUACCCGACAGGUGGUACCAACCCUGCUGGGUUUCUGAACAGCGGUGCGUCCCGCUCGGGGCCGUGCCACCCGGCGGCUGUAAGAGGCAGGAUGGACAGAGUCUGGCAACCCCGAAUGAGUGCAGGUAGCAAGUGAAAAAAUAAAAAGGAGACACUGUAAACAAAUCAUAUAUAUUUACACAGAGAGAGAGGGAGAGAGAGACCAAGAGGUUAUUUGUUUCUCUACGAUGGGUUCUCACCCUCAUUGAGUUUUCUACAGAGAAAGGCAUGAUAGUAGCUGUGCUUACGGUGGAGCAAGCAAGCGGGUCAUACCGGAAGCGGCAGCUGUGCAGAGCCGGGUCAGCACCCGUCCCUGGGAGCCCUGCUCAGAAUCGGAGCAAACCACGAGACAUGCAUCCCACCAAAAUGAUCCAUCUUAUUAAGGUUCCCUUUCAUCACCUUACAUCAAUUAAAACAAAUUUUAUUCCAAA